UAGGAAAUCAUACACUCAAGACCUUGACCAGAGAGUUCUGGGAGCAAGCACCGCUUUGGCAGCCAUACCAGAUAUGCACAGGAAGGCUGUUCUGCUUCAUACCCUCCUCUGGAUGAUCCAUGGAACAAUGAAGACUUGCAUGGAGAGCCGUUGCAGAAUCAAACCAUGUGCUUGUAGGUGCACUCUCCAGGAUUUUGGGCGCGCAUGCACACGCACACAGC
Molecule: long non-coding RNA, 221 nt
Organism: Tupaia belangeri chinensis (Chinese tree shrew)
Lineage: Eukaryota; Metazoa; Chordata; Mammalia; Scandentia; Tupaiidae
Exons: 3
Source: RefSeq, a predicted model, not a curated record